AUUGAACGCUGGCGGCAGGCCUAAUACAUGCAAGUCGAACGGUAACAUAAAAGGAAGCUUGCUUCUUUUGAUGACGAGUGGCGGACGGGUGGGUAAUAUUUGGGAAACUACCUGAUAGAGGGGGACAACAGUUGGAAACGACUGCUAAUACCGCAUAUAGCCUGAGGGUGAAAGCAGCGAUGCGCUAUCAGAUGUGCCCAAACGGGAUUAGCUAGUAGGUGAGGUAAAGGCUCACCUAGGCGACGAUCUCUAGCUGGUCUGAGAGGAUGAUCAGCCACAUUGGGACUGAGACACGGCCCAG
RNAcentral lists this ribosomal RNA (301 nucleotides) under uncultured bacterium. RNAcentral describes it as "bacterial SSU rRNA". It matches the Rfam family "Bacterial small subunit ribosomal RNA", at positions 30 to 334 of the family's 1533-position model. The record is from RNAcentral.